GGGUAAUUAGUCUAGUGGUCAGGACGCUUCGUUGUGGCUCCGAAUGAUCGCAGCGCGCAACUCUCCGAAGAAACCCCGGUUCGAUUCCGGGAUUGCCCA
Molecule: transfer RNA, 99 nt
Rfam family: tRNA
About the family: Transfer RNA (tRNA) molecules are approximately 80 nucleotides in length. Their secondary structure includes four short double-helical elements and three loops (D, anti-codon, and T loops).
Source: Rfam